GCUGAUGCGUUGUUGGGUAGGGGAGCGUUCUGUAAGCCUGCGAAGGUGACCUGUGAGGGUUGCUGGAGGUAUCAGAAGUGCGAAUGCUGACAUAAGUAACGAUAAAGCGGGUGAAAAGCCCGCUCGCCGGAAGACCAAGGGUUCCUGUCCAACGUUAAUCGGGGCAGGGUGAGUCGACCCCUAAGGCGAGGCCGAAAGGCGUAGUCGAUGGGAAACGGGUUAAUAUUCCCGUACUUGGUGUUACUGCGAAGGGGGGACGGAGAAGGCUAUGUUGGCCGGGCGACGGUUGUCCCGGUUUAAGCGUGUAGGUGUGUGUUCCAGGUAAAUCCGGUUCACUUUAACACUGAGGCGUGAUGACGAGGCACUACGGUGCUGAAGCAACAAAUGCCCUGCUUCCAGGAAAAGCCUCUAAGCAUCAGGUAACAUCAAAUCGUACCCCAAACCGACACAGGUGGUCAGGUAGAGAAUACCAAGGCGCUUGAGAGAACUCGGGUGAAGGAACUAGGCAAAAUGGUGCCGUAACUUCGGGAGAAGGCACGCUGACACGUAGGUGAAGUGAUUUACUCACGGAGCUGAAGUCAGUCGAAGAUACCAGCUGGCUGCAACUGUUUAUUAAAAACACAGCACUGUGCAAACACGAAAGUGGACGUAUACGGUGUGACGCCUGCCCGGUGCCGGAAGGUUAAUUGAUGGGGUCAGCGCAAGCGAAGCUCCUGAUCGAAGCCCCGGUAAACGGCGGCCGUAACUAUAACGGUCCUAAGGUAGCGAAAUUCCUUGUCGGGUAAGUUCCGACCUGCACGAAUGGCGUAAUGAUGGCCAGGCUGUCUCCACCCGAGACUCAGUGAAAUUGAACUCGCUGUGAAGAUGCAGUGUACCCGCGGCAAGACGGAAAGACCCCGUGAACCUUUACUAUAGCUUGACACUGAACAUUGAGCCUUGAUGUGUAGGAUAGGUGGGAGGCUUUGAAGUGUGGACGCCAGUCUGCAUGGAGCCGACCUUGAAAUACCACCCUUUAAUGUUUGAUGUUCUAACGUGGACCCGUAAUCCGGGUUGCGGACAGUGUCUGGUGGGUAGUUUGACUGGGGCGGUCUCCUCCUAAAGAGUAACGGAGGAGCACGAAGGUUGGCUAAUCCUGGUCGGACAUCAGGAGGUUAGUGCAAUGGCAUAAGCCAGCUUGACUGCGAGCGUGACGGCGCGAGCAGGUGCGAAAGCAGGUCAUAGUGAUCCGGUGGUUCUGAAUGGAAGGGCCAUCGCUCAACGGAUAAAAGGUACUCCGGGGAUAACAGGCUGAUACCGCCCAAGAGUUCAUAUCGACGGCGGUGUUUGGCACCUCGAUGUCGGCUCAUCACAUCCUGGGGCUGAAGUAGGUCCCAAGGGUAUGGCUGUUCGCCAUUUAAAGUGGUACGCGAGCUGGGUUUAGAACGUCGUGAGACAGUUCGGUCCCUAUCUGCCGUGGGCGCUGGAGAACUGAGGGGGGCUGCUCCUAGUACGAGAGGACCGGAGUGGACGCAUCACUGGUGUUCGGGUUGUCAUGCCAAUGGCACUGCCCGGUAGCUAAAUGCGGAAGAGAUAAGUGCUGAAAGCAUCUAAGCACGAAACUUGCCCCGAGAUGAGUUCUCCCUGAGACUUAGAGUCUCCUGA
RNAcentral lists this ribosomal RNA (1641 nucleotides) under Salmonella enterica subsp. enterica serovar Typhimurium. RNAcentral describes it as "partial 23S ribosomal RNA". It matches the Rfam family "Bacterial large subunit ribosomal RNA", at positions 1213 to 2831 of the family's 2925-position model. Lineage: Bacteria; Pseudomonadati; Pseudomonadota; Gammaproteobacteria; Enterobacterales; Enterobacteriaceae. The record is from RNAcentral.